UUCAUCUAAAUCGAAAAUGUGUCGGUCAGAAAGGUGUUCGGUUUGUAAAAAAAAGUCCCAAAAUUUUUACAAUAAAACAUAUCCCGCA
This is a long non-coding RNA of Diprion similis, 88 nucleotides long. RefSeq lists it as uncharacterized. The record is from RefSeq and is a predicted model, not a curated record. Lineage: Eukaryota; Metazoa; Arthropoda; Insecta; Hymenoptera; Diprionidae. The transcript is spliced from 3 exons.